Molecule: ribosomal RNA, 301 nt
Filed under: uncultured bacterium
Lineage: Bacteria
Description: partial 16S ribosomal RNA
Rfam family: Bacterial small subunit ribosomal RNA
Source: RNAcentral
CAGUAGCCGCGGUAAUACGUAGGUGGCAAGCGUUGUCCGGAAUGAUUGGGCGUAAAGGGCGCGCAGGCGGCUGUGUAAGUCUGUCUAGAAAGUGCCGGGCUAAACCCCGUGAGAGGAUGGAAACUGGACAGCUGAGAGUGUCGGAGAGGAAAGCGGAAUUCCUAGUGUAGCAGUGAAAUGCGUAGAUAUUAGGAGGAACACCGGUGGCGAAAGCGGCUUUCUGGACGACAACUGACGCUGAGGCGCGAAAGCCAGGGGAGCAAACGGGAUUAGAUACCCGAGUAGUCCCUGUCUCUUAUAC